GGAGGUAUGGCUCAAGUGGUAGAGCACCUGCUUUGCAAGCACAAGACUCUAAGUUCAGUCCCUACUACAGCCA
This 73-nucleotide transfer RNA is filed under the name Dipodomys ordii (Ord's kangaroo rat). It matches the Rfam family "tRNA". From Rfam's summary of the family: Transfer RNA (tRNA) molecules are approximately 80 nucleotides in length. Their secondary structure includes four short double-helical elements and three loops (D, anti-codon, and T loops). Further hydrogen bonds mediate the characteristic L-shaped molecular structure. tRNAs have two regions of fundamental functional importance: the anti-codon, which is responsible for specific mRNA codon recognition, and the 3' end, to which the tRNAs corresponding amino acid is attached (by aminoacyl-tRNA synthetases). tRNAs cope with the degeneracy of the genetic code in two manners: having more than one tRNA (with a specific anti-codon) for a particular amino acid; and 'wobble' base-pairing, i.e. permitting non-standard base-pairing at the 3rd anti-codon position. The record is from Rfam by way of RNAcentral. Lineage: Eukaryota; Metazoa; Chordata; Mammalia; Rodentia; Heteromyidae.